This 333-nucleotide ribosomal RNA is filed under the name Sandonidae sp. RNAcentral's name for it is "SSU rRNA". The stretch from base 125 to 333 matches the Rfam family "Eukaryotic small subunit ribosomal RNA", at positions 746 to 955 of the family's 1831-position model. The record is from RNAcentral. Lineage: Eukaryota; Cercozoa; Glissomonadida; Sandonidae.
GAUUUCUGUGCAUCCACUCUCUGGCCCGCCACGGUUACGUGUGUGAGUGCCGGUAUGAGUUGGUGCCAUCCUUCGACACUAUCCCACUGACACUCUUCACUGAGUGUUGUGUGUGUGAUGGUUCGAUCCUUUACUUUGAAAAAAUUAGAGUGUUUCAAGCAGGCUUUAUGCUAUGAAUACAUUAGCAUGGAAUAAUAAUUUAGGACUUCGGUUCUAUUUUGUUGGUUUCUAGGACUGAAGUAAUGAUUGAUAGGGAUAGUUGGGGGUGCUAGUAUUCAGCGGCCAGAGGUGAAAUUCUCGGAUUCGCUGAAGACUAACUUAUGCGAAAGCAUU